Gossypium arboreum is the source of this 608-nucleotide long non-coding RNA. RefSeq lists it as uncharacterized. NCBI's taxonomy places the organism in Eukaryota, Viridiplantae, Streptophyta, Magnoliopsida, Malvales, Malvaceae. The transcript is spliced from 2 exons. The record is from RefSeq and is a predicted model, not a curated record.
GCUAUCUCUAUAUUCUCUCCUAUUCCAAGCAGGAACUUUACAAGGCUUGCACAUACGUGAUCAAAAGUUCACUUCCAAUCGACACGGAAGCAUGUAAACAGUGCCUUGAAGAAAGCAGGUCUUGAUGUUUCGUCAUCAAGUAACCUUGUUCCUACGUUUCAUGUCAUAAUGGCAAAUCCAAGCCAAAAGAAGAGCUGCCCCUAGGGGGGAAUCAUCAGUAAAGCUACUAUCAAGGAAGCACGCACUAGCUAGCUGAACUUUUCUAAGCUACCGCAGAUGUGACAAACGCUAAAGAAAUCAAAGGUGAGACUGACUUACUUCCUGAGCAAGUUAUUGGAAUUUUUUUUUGUAAACAGAGGAGGGCAUUGUUUAGACACCUUAAAGCUUCUUUAAGAUUCAUUCUUUUCAUCUCAGAGUUGAUGUUUUGUUACCCAUCUCAUCAGCUUCUCAGUUUUUACCGUGUCAAGAUGGAGCAAUAUCCUUUUUCUUUCUGUCACUAAAUAUCAUAAUUCAUAUCGAAGUCGAGCUCUUUCUUUAAUUGUGUGAGCUAUUAUUAUUUUAAAACAGUGUGAGCUAAUUUUAAUUUUCAACAAUGCUAUCCUUAUGCA